Molecule: long non-coding RNA, 596 nt
Organism: Papaver somniferum (opium poppy)
Lineage: Eukaryota; Viridiplantae; Streptophyta; Magnoliopsida; Ranunculales; Papaveraceae
Exons: 3
Source: RefSeq, a predicted model, not a curated record
CUCGGCUUCACUCUCUCAGCCUCUAAAGUCUACUGAAAACUAAUUUCUCUCAAAAUCAAACGCUAAUCAGUGUUGUUGCUACGGAUGGAGUCUUGGUGAUUUGAUUUGAUAAGAAUCAGUGGCGUCUUUCUGGUUCAGGGAUGCAGCGCAUGCAUGUGAACAAAUACUACUUUGUUUUAUGUUGGCUGAACAUUAAAAAGAGUAUCAUCACUCCUUGCGCAGGCUUAUUUCGUUUGCAGUGUGUAAACUGUAAUCAGAUCUACUGUGUGAAAUCUUAUUUGGUAAAUAAUCGUCAACUUGCAUGCCGCCCAAUUUGCUGGAUAACAAUAUUGUGCAGGUGCAUUGCUUGUUCUGCUAGGUAUGACCAUAUAUAAUAUAUUUAAUUAGUAUCAAUUAUUGAGAUUUCCAUUGAUUAAUGUAAUAUAUGACUGAAUUCUACUUCACAUCGUUCGAGACUGCAUAAGAUUCUUCUAAUUUGGUGCUUCCAUUAUGGAGUUAUUUUGCCUUUGGUGCCAACAGACGGGUUUGGAACCUGGAUUUGUCCUGUUUUGAGUUGUCUUCAUGAUCUAGCUGCUGACUGUAGUAAAAUGACAAGU